UUUCAAAGUCACUAUCUUUUAUUCUGCAAUGUCUAAUCUGUUGUUAAUCACAUCCAUUAUAUUUCUAUCUAAUAAUUUGUAGUUUUGUCUCUAAGUGUUUGAUUUGGACAUCUAGAAUACAGUUAUACAGUUAUAAUAUUUCUUGAAUAUCUAAAAUACAAUUGUACAGUUAUAAUAGCUGUUUUAUGUCCUUGUUUGCUAAUUCUAACAUUUAAUCAGUUCUGGGUUGGUUGUGAUUGGUUGAUUUUUCUCCUCAUAGAUAUUUUCCUGUUUCUUUGCAUGCUUGAUGAAUUUUACUUCGUUUGGUGCUGAAUAUUUUUCCAUAUCUAAGUAUUCUUGAGCUUUGUUUUGGGAUGCAGUUAAAUUACUUGGAAAAAGUUUCAUCCUUUUGGGUCCUGCUUUAAGAAUUUAGUUGAAACAGAGCAGCAUUUAGUCUCAGGCUAAUCAUUCCACAUUAUUGACAAAAUAUGACUUUGAGUGCCCUACAAAAUGACCCAUUAAUUAUGAUGCUUUCCUGUCUUGUUGUGGGGACAGGCACUCUUUCUGGCCCUGUGUGAGUAGCAGGCACCCUUCCCACUCAUCCUUUCAGACAGGUCUUUACCCAGCCUCACCGUCUCCUCAUGUGCAUGUGCCUAGCAGUGCUCUGCUGCAUUCUUGAGAGGACCUUCCAUAGACCUCAGGAAUUCUCUCUCCAUGCAACUUUCCUUCUAGUAUUUUAUUCUGCAAACUCUAGGCACCCUGUUCUCCCAUACUCUCAGCUCUGUUGAUUUAAUAGAGCUCUGUUGACUAAGGAAGUCCACUGGGCACCCCCUGGAUUCCCUGUCCCUGCACCAUGGCCUGAAAACUCUCUCAUGGCAGUUAAGUGGGGUUAUCAGAAGGCUCACAUUGCCUAUUUCCCAUCUCUUAGGAUUACUGUUCUUCACUAUCUGAUGUCCAGUACCUUGAAAAUGGCAGUUUGAUCCCGUUUUAUUUGGUUUUUAAUGAUUGUUUCAGGCAGGAGGGUAAAUCUCUUACUCCACUUUGAUCAGAAGCAGAAGUUACAAAUUAACUAGAUUUUAUUUCCUUUUAACGAGCAUGUAUGCAUGUGGCUAUGAUUUUAUAUUGCAUACAUGCAAUAAAUAUUUGCUGUAAGUGAAAUUAAUCCUGGUUUUAUAUUGGAGAUGAACAGAUGAAUAAUCCAUGGAUUUUGUUUGCCAAAGAAUAAAACAGUCUCUGCUAUGUCACUGUUGUAAUGUUAGAUGCUGUUGGAGGGGGAAAGAAACAUUAGUGGCCAUGUGAUAAUGAGGAGUCAUCAAUUUCGAUAUUCUGCAAAGCAAGCCCUCAGCCCUCCAGGGUGAAGUUGGUGUCCUGGGGAUGGAUUUAUUACGUAGGCGUCAGGCACACAGAUGCUGCAGAAAGAUAUAUAGGUAGAUAUAUGGUCAUCUGUGCCAUCACUGGCUUCACCUGUUGAGCAGAGGGGAAAGAAAGUAUUUUCCAAUGAGAAAAAAGAACCCAAAAUGUGAUUUUCAGUCACAACCAGUAUUCAGCCCUUCUACCUACCAGUUUUAAAACUUUAGUGACUUGUCUCAUGGACGAUCAGAAACCUGGCUUCAAGGGAUCAAGGUCAAGGACUGGCUCCCCAUUUAAGUCCGUUGGACUGGAUUAUUCCAUAGCUACAUUCUGUAGCCUCUAAAAGUUUUUUUAAAUGAACAGGUCAGUAUUCCAUAUUAACAGGGAGGGGCAUGCAAAGUGUGGGCUGUGCUCUUAUAUCUGCACAUCAAUCAAGUAUUUAUUGGAUACCCAUGCCUUCUGUGUGCUCACCUCUCACUAGAACAUGGACUCUCGAAGGGCAAGGACGGUGUCUUAUUUGUCUGUGGGAGCUCAGUCCCCAGCACUGAGCUGGGUGUAGGGUAGGUUUCAGUAAAACUUUGAAUGAUUGAGAGAGCGAAUCCCCAGCAUGAGAAGAACGGUGAAGCAAUUCAUCGCACAUGCGCUGUCCGCUGGGAGCCGGUGAGGACAAUGCCCUGCUGGCUACCAUGGCUUUGCAAACUUGGUCUGGGCUGGUGGGCCAGUGGGACAGGACUCCUUGCCCCCCACUUUCUGGAGUGUGCUUGAACGAGACAAUCACACUUGGCAGGGAGAUUGCGCUCAGCUCAGGGGCAGAGGUCCCCAAGAUCCGCUCCCUGAGGGAGACUGAGUCGUUGACUCCACCUGGUGGAGUCUACAGAGUACUCACCGACCUGAUGCGAAGCAGGGAGGAGCCGGCAGCCCGGCGCCGGCCAAUCAGGUGCGGAGCGCAGCCCGGGAGCAGGAAGACUCCCAAGGAGGGAGGGGCUGGGGCUUGGAUGAGCCCCAGAGAGCAUCCGUGGGCUCCAAAAGCUGGCCUCCGAACCUCCCAGGCACGGUGGGCUCUGCUCCCCUGACCCCACCCCAGAGAGCAGCAUCCCUAGGCAGAUGGCCUUACUACUCCCUGAAACAGGAUAAUAAAGUGUUCUGGGAAAAUGCUGUCUGAAUGCCCCUGGACGGUCCAACUGUGGAACAGACAGCUGUGAGGUUGGCUUGUGAACCCCCGCGUUCCCAGUGAGUAAUCUGAGGUUCGGAGGAAGCUUCCGAGGGAGACAUGUCACCCAGAUCUCCCACCUCCCAGCCAACCUCUCAUCUCUGCUACACGCACGCUGCCUCUUACCUUCCACGUGCACGGGGCUCGGCCAUUACGGAGCCCAGUCAUAGGUGACCUAGAACCUAACGGGCUGUCCAGUGAAUUCAGCGGAGCGCCCUUGUCCAUGACACAGGUGAGAAGGCAGACAGGUGAGGUCAGUAGCGAGUGAACGGCGGAGUGGCCCUAGCCCAAGGCCAGCGAGCUCUGUGCCCUCUACGGGGGCUGAACUCCCAGAAUCCGGCUGCUCCUGCUGUUCUAUGUCCUUGCAACCCCGGUGUUUGAUUUGAGGAACGACAGCACGUGUGACUGGUACAGCUCGCUCCAUCUAGCAGACCAUGAGGGGAGGCUUAUUUCUGUCCACUUCGUGGUUUGACAGCCCAUCUAGACUGAUUGGAAAAAAGGAAAAGAUGAGACCUGAAGGUUUAUUUGAGGCAUUUCUAGAGCAAGCAAAACACUUCCCACAUCUCUGGAGGCCUGACAACACGGGAACUGAGAAGCCACAGCACCAAACGCGCAACGGAUGUUCCAAAGAAAACGCACGUUGCUCUUUUUCGAAAUCA
This is a non-coding RNA of Kogia breviceps (pygmy sperm whale), 3198 nucleotides long. The record is from RefSeq and is a predicted model, not a curated record. NCBI's taxonomy places the organism in Eukaryota, Metazoa, Chordata, Mammalia, Artiodactyla, Physeteridae.